RNAcentral lists this transfer RNA (95 nucleotides) under Laccaria amethystina LaAM-08-1. It matches the Rfam family "tRNA". Rfam says of the family: Transfer RNA (tRNA) molecules are approximately 80 nucleotides in length. Their secondary structure includes four short double-helical elements and three loops (D, anti-codon, and T loops). Further hydrogen bonds mediate the characteristic L-shaped molecular structure. tRNAs have two regions of fundamental functional importance: the anti-codon, which is responsible for specific mRNA codon recognition, and the 3' end, to which the tRNAs corresponding amino acid is attached (by aminoacyl-tRNA synthetases). tRNAs cope with the degeneracy of the genetic code in two manners: having more than one tRNA (with a specific anti-codon) for a particular amino acid; and 'wobble' base-pairing, i.e. permitting non-standard base-pairing at the 3rd anti-codon position. The record is from Rfam by way of RNAcentral. Lineage: Eukaryota; Fungi; Basidiomycota; Agaricomycetes; Agaricales; Hydnangiaceae.
GGCGCUGUAGUGUAGCGGUUAUCACUCAAGAUUCUGAUAAAACGAAUGAACCUCUGUGAGUUCUUGAAACCCAGGUUCGAUUCCUGGCAGUGCCU